GCCCAAAUCGCACGUGCCUGUGGUCGUGUGUCGGUCGGCGGGGAUCCGGACAAGAGGCCGGUUAACCGCCGUUAAAAAACCGGCAGCCGGAGGCGAACCGGCGAACUCCGUUUCUGCGGAGGAUCGCGACUUAAAGCAACGACGGACCGGGCUUUU
This is a small RNA of Methylocystis bryophila, 156 nucleotides long. It matches the Rfam family "Alphaproteobacterial sRNA ar45". The record is from Rfam. NCBI's taxonomy places the organism in Bacteria, Pseudomonadati, Pseudomonadota, Alphaproteobacteria, Hyphomicrobiales, Methylocystaceae.